Molecule: long non-coding RNA, 264 nt
Filed under: Callithrix jacchus (white-tufted-ear marmoset)
Lineage: Eukaryota; Metazoa; Chordata; Mammalia; Primates; Cebidae
Description: lncRNA (ENSCJAG00000084560.1)
Source: RNAcentral
AGGAGGUUUCAGAAGUUCAAGUUAAAACAAUAAUGAGCCCCUUUAUCAUUUUUUAUUGCAUCUGUUUGGUUAUUCUCUCUUUUCUUUUAUCAGUCUGGCUAGUGGUCUGUCUAUUUUGUUGAUCUUUUCAAAAAACCAGCUCUUGGAUUUAUUGAUUUUUUGAAGGGUUUUUCGUGUCUCUUUCUCCUUCAGUUCUGCUCUGAUCUUAGUUAUUUCUUGUCUUUUGCUAGGUUUUCAGUUUUUUUGAUCUUGCUCCUCUAGCUC